GUGGAUUAGAUACCCUGGUAGUCCACGCCCUAAACGAUGUCAACUAGCUGUUGGGGCCUUCGGGCCUUAGUAGCGCAGCUAACGCGUGAAGUUGACCGCCUGGGGAGUACGGUCGCAAGAUUAAAACUCAAAGGAAUUGACGGGGACCCGCACAAGCGGUGGAUGAUGUGGAUUAAUUCGAUGCAACGCGAAAAACCUUACCUACCCUUGACAUGUCUGGAAUCCUUUAGAGAUAGAGGAGUGCUCGCAAGAGAACCGGAACACAGGUGCUGCAUGGCUGUCGUCAACU
This 289-nucleotide ribosomal RNA is filed under the name uncultured bacterium. RNAcentral's name for it is "partial 16S ribosomal RNA". It matches the Rfam family "Bacterial small subunit ribosomal RNA", at positions 773 to 1060 of the family's 1533-position model. The record is from RNAcentral.